Molecule: long non-coding RNA, 3419 nt
Organism: Anopheles gambiae (African malaria mosquito)
Lineage: Eukaryota; Metazoa; Arthropoda; Insecta; Diptera; Culicidae
Exons: 3
Source: RefSeq, a predicted model, not a curated record
AAUAAAUAAAUAAAUAAAUAAAUAAAUAAAUAAAUAAAUAAAUAAAUAAAUAAAUAAAUAAAUAAAUAAAUAAAUAAAUAAAUUAUUGAUUUGCUUCCAGAACGUUGAGCAAAGCCUUCGGCUAAUUGCCGAGGUGGAAAGACGGCCUGCUUUAUGGCAAAAGCGGUCGGAUUUUUACAAGAACGGAAUUCGGCGUAGGGAUGCGUGGACCGAGAUUGGUGGAAUCUUGGAACUUACCGUCGAAGAGUCCAGUUACCAGUGGAGGAAGCUGCUGACCAGCUACCGGAGAUAUAAGUCCAAGCUGCGUAAAAGUCAGCAAAGCGGAUCAGCGGCUGAGGACGUUUUUCGGCCAAGAUGGUUCGCCUUCGACGCGAUGAAGUUCCUUGAUGAUACCAUGAAGGACGGCACGCAUCUCGAUACGACGACCUAGACCUACAAACCUCCACCGAAGCCCACUCAAUCCCUACUUGUUCCUAUUCCUCAAUUCCGCCGCAACCAACAAUCCCAGCACCAACAACUCCAGCACCAACAACCGCAGCACCAACAACUCCAGCACCAACACCAGUACCAACCCCAGCACCAACCCCAGCACCAACCCCAGCACUAAUCCUAGCACCAACCCCAGCACCAACAACAGCGGGAAACUAUUUUACCAGGUUUGGCCAGUGGGUGGGGACAUGGUUGAACCAUUUACCACCCGAGCAACAAAACGAUGCCACAGAUCAUUUGCAGCAGACGAUGCUACAGUGGGAUCUCCAAAAAUAAUAAUAAUAAUGUUUAUAAAAACAUACCUUAACGUAGCUCCGCAAAUGUUUAUUUAAACAAGCAUACACAUCCUUCACAAUUUUGGUAAUCGACGAUUUAGAAACCUAAAAUUAUGCCAUACUCAUGUGGUAUUUUUUUAGAUGGUCACGGGUUUUUCGAUUUUGGGACGGUUGCCAUGUAGCAACUUUGAACUCGCGUUGGCCAGGGUGGCCUUCAAACAUCUUUUAAGGAAGGUCAUCGUUUGCCGAAUUAAGCAGAACUGAGGUGGAUACUGUUUCGACGCGGACUUUCGACACUUGAUCGUCCAGGCGAUCAUAGAAACUUUUAGGUGGUUUCCCUUACUGAAAACGUUGGAGUUUAGAGGCCUUAUCUUGGGCAGGGGGACAUAACUAAACUCUUUAAAUGAGAAGUCGGAGUUGGUUUUAUUUAUACUCAAAAGAAGUUAAAGGCUUCGCACCUUUGGUUCCGGGUUAUAUGUUAGAAAGUUAUUGUUUUCACUAAACUAGUUACGGUUAUCUUUUGUUGACAAAACCAAUGGUUUGUCACUAAGUUCCUGUUUUGGGUUUAAUGCUUACACUGCUCCUGCUUUGGGUUAUAAUGCAUACACUGUUCCUACUUAUGUUGUACGUUUCGGUUGGUUCUGUUAAGUGUGUCACAAUUGUUUUUACAUGAACGGUGUGGCCUGAGCUUUUCCGGGUGUGUAUGGUAUGAUCUGAUUUGCUGAGCGUGUUAUAAUGAAUGUGUUGCAAUGGUGUGAUUUGGUUUUACAAUGUGUCUAUAGCUGAUAGUGUGUAUUAUAAUAAGUUCUGUAUAUCAGAUAUGCUACAUUCAUUACAAUACGAACAUGUUAUUUUAAUUCGUAUUCAGCAUUCGGCUCUUGCACGGUUUUCGAUUGCUGACUUCUCUUCACUUGCUUAUGUCCGAAAAAGUUUAAUCAGUCCUGCGGGGAGACGGUUUGAAUGAGAUUCGAUUCACAGUGCUGCCAUAGAAAAGACCGACCAAGAUACCGUCUCCAAUCCGACCGCCGAAACAAGAAAAAAAACAAAACAUUCUUACGCGAAAUAAGUAUUUCAAUCUUUUAAAUGUCUCCCCCGUUGCAAAAUACCGCAAUGCUAUUAGAAGCCUUUCUUGAUGUGAUCGCUUCUCGCAUUUUUGUAUCUAUACGGCUUAUUUCUGGACCGACCAAGACAUAAAGACGAUCGAAAUCUUCGUGUUCCAUCCGUAUAAAAAUGUUUAUGAUGAAUUUUGCCGUGUUGUUUGAUGGACUUCAAUUAUUGAUCUAAAUUUUAUAUCAUAUGCUUUAAAGAUAAUCAACGCGAAAGCAAACAUCACCAGUGAUAUAUGGUAUCAUUUCAUAAAAUCUGUGGGAGCAGCUAAGUGCCGUUAUUGUCGACAAGUACUGUCACACUUGAAGGAAUCUACAUCAAAUUUGAAACGGCAUAUGGAUCGUAAGCAUCCGACAGUUCCGCUGCAGAGGAGUAACCAGCCAUCGAUAUCAGAUUCACAAUUUGAUGCUGGAUCAGAAGGUACUUCGGCUCAAACAAAUGUUCGCGGCAAAGGAGAUUUUUUUUUAAAUCCAUUAAACCAAUGAGCUCAGAUGCAAAGAAAGAACUUGCCAUUCAAUUGCUAUUGAUGAUAUGUACAGAAUAUCAUCCUUUUUCGAUUGUAGAGGAUUAAAAUUUCACGCAGUUUGUAAAAACAUUAAAUUCUAAGUAUGAAUCACCCAGUAGAAAAAGCAUUUCAAACGGAGCAUUGCCUGCGCUGUACAACGAUACUCUGGAAGUCGUAAAGAGAAGUAUAAUAACAAGUUCAUUAAUUUUAUUAAGAGUAGAUUGUUGGAUUGACGUUAACAAAACUAGAUUUUGCUCAGUAACAAUACAUUUUAUAAACAGUUUGUACGAUCUUUGUAGUCAUUUGCAUGAAUGUUAGGAAUUUUCAACAAGUCAUACCGGUAAAAAUAUUGCCGCUUGGAUUACUAAUGUAACAGACACCUUCCAAUAUCUGAAAAAAUCUGUUUUGGAGACUGAUAAUGCUGCUAAUAUGAAAACAACUGUAGUCAUAUUAAAUAUUCCUCAUCUUUCAGGCGGUGCCCGCACGCUCAAUUUAGUACUUAAGGACGAGAUAUAGUAACGCAUUUCGAAAAAAGCUCCAAAGCUACCCAAAAACUAUCUGAGAGACAAUAGGAUUUCAAUUAUCCCUAAUUAAAGUUAAAAACCCGUUGUCAUAUUCGUUGGAAUUAUGCAUUUGAAAUGUUUAAACGUUUCAACCAAGACAGAGUUCCAUUAGCUUCAUGUGGUUGCUGUGGUUGCUGCAUUAAAAAUCAAUUCUAGGCUAGAUGACGAAGAUUGAAUAAUAAUAGAACAGGCAAUUUUUUAUGUUUAAUACCGUUACAACCGAAAUUAUGGCAGAUCACUAUUUCAAUUUUUGUGGAAUUUUUCUAAAUAAAAUCUCAAAAUUUAGGUGUUUAGUAAGCUAUAAUUUGCAAUGUUAUACCUGCUCUCUAUAAUUGUGGGGUGCUAUAAUUAUAACUGCUAACACUAGCGGCGAAAAAACUGCCUAGGCUCGCAAGCUCUUUAAUGCGAGGGCUCUGGGGCGGUGAACUUGUAUGACGUGCGAGCCCUUGCGCGUCCUCGCAAAUCACUGGAAAUUGCAUG